UAAUCAAGUGUUUUUAUGGCACUUUCAAAAAUCCAUAUCCACCUUGUGUGCAAUGUCAUCUCUCUGGGGGGCUGCCGGCUGUCAAAAGCCGUGUGGUCACCUUUGGGAUUUAUAUCUACUCAGAACUUUAGUGAUUUUGUCUGAAACAUAUUAUGAAUACUUAAUUCAAAAUA
This 173-nucleotide unclassified non-coding RNA is filed under the name soil metagenome. RNAcentral's name for it is "partial internal transcribed spacer 1". The record is from RNAcentral.